Molecule: small RNA, 90 nt
Filed under: Cavia porcellus (domestic guinea pig)
Lineage: Eukaryota; Metazoa; Chordata; Mammalia; Rodentia; Caviidae
Description: Y RNA (ENSCPOG00000029822.2)
Source: RNAcentral
AGCCUGGAUGGCUGGUAUCAGAACUUAUUAACAUUAGUGUCACUAAAGUUGGUAUACCCCCCCCCCACUGCUAAAUUUGACUGGCUUUAA